GACAAACGCUGGCGGCGUGCCUAACACAUGCAAGUCGAACGGACGAGGAGAAGCUUGCUUCUCCGAGUUAGUGGCGGACGGGUGAGUAACGCGUGAGUAAUCUGCCUAUCAAAGGGGGAUAACAGUCGGAAACGACUGCUAAUACCGCAUAAUGUAUCAUGAGGGCAUCCUUGAGAUACCAAAGGAGCAAUCCGAUGAUAGAUGAGCUCGCGUCUGAUUAGAUAGUUGGUGAGGUAACGGCUCACCAAGUCGACGAUCAGUAGCCGGACUGAGAGGAUGAACGGCCACAUUGGGACUGAGAUACGGCCCAGACUCCUACGGGAGGCAGCAGUGGGGAAUAUUGGGCAAUGGGCGAAAGCCUGACCCAGCAACGCCGCGUGAAGGAAGAAGGCCUCGGGUUGUAACGUUCUUUACCUAGGACGAAUUUG
RNAcentral lists this ribosomal RNA (428 nucleotides) under uncultured bacterium. RNAcentral's name for it is "bacterial SSU rRNA". It matches the Rfam family "Bacterial small subunit ribosomal RNA", at positions 28 to 453 of the family's 1533-position model. The record is from RNAcentral.